Molecule: long non-coding RNA, 363 nt
Organism: Vicia villosa (hairy vetch)
Lineage: Eukaryota; Viridiplantae; Streptophyta; Magnoliopsida; Fabales; Fabaceae
Exons: 2
Source: RefSeq, a predicted model, not a curated record
UGAAAAACAGAGCAGAAGAGACGAGAGAUGGGGAAGCUGAUACGUGAAGAGGAACAAAGAGGGAGAAGACCAAUCAAGAAUUUGGCUAAGAUUGAAGUAGCGGUUUAAGCGAUCGGUGAGGAUGACUCGUAGAGUUUAUCCGGUUAUGUGGAGUCGUGUCGGUCAUGCUCUGAUCUUGUAACACUGGGGGUCGAUAGUCUUAGAGAUACUCGAUAUACGUUGUUGCCAUUAUUGGUUAUGGAUUAUGUAUUGUUGAUUUUGUUUGGAUAUGUUUCUUAACAUUGUUGAAAUGAGUUUCCGCUGUGCUAAACACAUGUUUUGAUAUUUGGUUUAAUAAAGCAUGACAAACGACUUGGAGUUUUA